This 468-nucleotide ribosomal RNA is filed under the name uncultured bacterium. Its description in RNAcentral is "partial 16S ribosomal RNA". It matches the Rfam family "Bacterial small subunit ribosomal RNA", at positions 28 to 507 of the family's 1533-position model. The record is from RNAcentral.
GACGAACGCUGGCGGCGUGCUUAACACAUGCAAGUCGAACGGAAAGGCCCUGCUUUUGUGGGGUGCUCGAUUGGCGAACGGGUGAGUAACACGUGAGUAUCCUGCCCUUGACUUUCGGAUAACUUCAGGAAACUGCGGCUAAUACCGGAUAGGAUCUCCUGCUCCAUGGUGGGGGUUGGAAAGUUUCGGCGGUUGGGGAUGGACUCGCGGCUUAUCAGCUUGUUGGUGGGGUAGGGGCUUACCAAGGCUUUGACGGGUAGCCGGCCUGAGAGGGUGACCGGCCACAUUGGGACUGAGAUACGGACCAGACUGCUACGGGAGGCAGCAGUGGGAAGUAUUGCACAAUGGGCGGACGCCUGAUGCAGCAAUGCCGCGUGCGUGAUGACGGCCUUCGGGUUGUAAACCGCUUUCGCCUGUGACGAAGCGUGAGUGACGGUAAUGGGUAAAGAAGCACCGGCUAACUACGUG